Molecule: non-coding RNA, 74 nt
Organism: Pangasius djambal
Lineage: Eukaryota; Metazoa; Chordata; Actinopteri; Siluriformes; Pangasiidae
Source: the annotation of a GenBank genome assembly
GUCCCUGGAGGUCUAGUGGUUGGGCCACGGCGCUCUCACCGCCGCAGCCUGGGUUCAGUUCCCGGGCAGGGACC